This is a long non-coding RNA of Astyanax mexicanus (Mexican tetra), 506 nucleotides long. RefSeq lists it as uncharacterized. The transcript is spliced from 3 exons. NCBI's taxonomy places the organism in Eukaryota, Metazoa, Chordata, Actinopteri, Characiformes, Acestrorhamphidae. The record is from RefSeq and is a predicted model, not a curated record.
GUGAACAGGCAUGUCUGCUGCAGAUAUACUGUACAGCGGUGAUGGGUUUAUUAUUUGUUUGCGUGGGACUGCAGUGUUUCUUUUUUACAGUUCUACAGUUCUAUCUCUGACUUUGGAUUUGUAUUAUUAUUGUUCAGACUUAAAUAUUAAGGUGCCUCAUGACUGGAACAGUUCUGUGGAUAUCUGGUUUACAGUACAGUGAUCUACACCUGGCUGCCUGGAGCUCCUCAUCCACCCUGCACAUGGAUUUAGAGCCAGCAGAGGAAACUAGAAGUGGACCAAAACCCUAAAAUUUCAUGAACGAAGAAACUCACAUUUUAUUGUUAUGCUGAGUCUAAAUAUGUGAAGAAUUAUUCUUCUGGAAACAAGCUGAAAUAUACAGCGAUGAUAGAAAAGUUUAAGUAAAGCCACUACAUGUUUAAUCAUGUAUUUAUGGUUGAAUCAAAAUCAUGUAAAGGUUGAAUCAAUGUUGAAUUAUUGUCAAUUAUAUGCUAAUAAAAAACUAA